GAGAGUCAAACAGUACGUGAAAUUGUUGAAAGGGAAGCGCUUGCAACCAGACUUGCCCGCGGGCGAUCAGCCGGUAUUCUUACCGGUGCACUCGCCCGCGGUCAGGCCAGCAUCGGUUCGGGCGGCUGGAUAAAGUCCACCGGAACGUAGCUCCUCUCGGGGAGUGUUAUAGCCGGAGGUGCCAUGCAGCCCGCCCGGACCGAGGACCGCGCUUCGGCUAGGAUGCUGGCGUAAUGGUUGUAAGCGACCCGUCUUGAAACACGGACCAAGGAGUCUAACAUCUAUGCGAGUGUUUGGGUGUCAAACCCAUGCGCGCAAUGAAGGUGAACGGAGGUGGGAACCCUUAAGGGCGCACCAUCGACCGAUCCUGAUGUCUUCGGAUGGAUUUGAGUAAGAGCAUAGCUGUUGGGACCCGAAAGAUGGUGAACUAUGCCUGAAUAGGGUGAAGCCAGAGGAAACUCUGGUGGAGGCUCGCAGCGGUUCUGACGUGCAAAUCGAUCGUCAAAUUUGGGUAUAGGGGCGAAAGACUAAUCGAACCAUCUGCUACUAGAUGGCACACGGGCCUGCGCGCCCCAGUAGUCCCCGUGCGGCGGGGGCGACAUCGUCGGUCUUCGGGAACGCCUCAGGCCACCCGCAGUGAGCUUCGGGCCCAUUCACAGACUAAGUGGCGGUGGCCGUGGCCUGGAGCACGGUUAGGAUAUA
This 702-nucleotide ribosomal RNA is filed under the name Acarospora peltastica. Its description in RNAcentral is "partial large subunit ribosomal RNA". It matches the Rfam family "Eukaryotic large subunit ribosomal RNA", at positions 383 to 1419 of the family's 3401-position model. Lineage: Eukaryota; Fungi; Ascomycota; Lecanoromycetes; Acarosporales; Acarosporaceae. The record is from RNAcentral.